This 206-nucleotide ribosomal RNA is filed under the name uncultured bacterium. RNAcentral describes it as "partial 16S ribosomal RNA". It matches the Rfam family "Bacterial small subunit ribosomal RNA", at positions 524 to 725 of the family's 1533-position model. The record is from RNAcentral.
UACGUAGGGUGCGAGCGUUGUCCGGAAUUAUUGGGCGUAAAGGGCUCGUAGGCGGUUUGUCGCGUCGGGAGUGAAAACCAGGUGCUUAACACCUGGCUUGCUUUCGAUACGGGCAGACUAGAGGCAUGCAGGGGAGAACGGAAUUCCUGGUGUAGCGGUGAAAUGCGGCAGAAUAUCAGGAGGAACACCGGUGGCGAAAGGGCGGG